GGGCGAAUGGUUUAGUGGUAUAAUACUCCCUUAGCAUGUGUUAGGCAACUGACAUAACGCCUGGGAGUGGUCCGGGGUUCGAUUCCCCGUUUGUCCA
This is a non-coding RNA of Claviceps humidiphila, 97 nucleotides long. NCBI's taxonomy places the organism in Eukaryota, Fungi, Ascomycota, Sordariomycetes, Hypocreales, Clavicipitaceae. The record is from the annotation of a GenBank genome assembly.